UGGGGGAUAUUGCACAAUGGGCGAAAGCCUGAUGCAGCGACGCCGCGUGGGGGAUGAAGGCUUUCGGGUUGUGAACCUCUUUCGCUAUCGAACAAGGCCCGCUUAGGGUGGGUUGAGGGUAGGUGGAGAAGAAGCGCCGGCUAACUACGUGCCAGCAGCCGCGGUAAUACGUAGGGCGCGAGCGUUGUCCGGAAUUAUUGGGCGUAAAGGGCUUGUAGGCGGCUUGUUGCGCCUGCUGUGAAAACGCGGGGCUUAACUUCGCGCGUGCAGUGGGUACGGGCAGGCUUGAGUGUGGUAGGGGUGACUGGAAUUCCAGGUGUAGCGGUGGAAUGCGCAGAUAUCUGGAGGAACACCGAUGGCGAAGGCAGGUCACUGGGCCAUUACUGACGCUGAGGAGCGAAAGCAUGGGUAGCGAACAGG
Molecule: ribosomal RNA, 420 nt
Filed under: bacterium
Lineage: Bacteria
Description: partial 16S ribosomal RNA
Rfam family: Bacterial small subunit ribosomal RNA
Source: RNAcentral